Molecule: long non-coding RNA, 736 nt
Filed under: Oryctolagus cuniculus (rabbit)
Lineage: Eukaryota; Metazoa; Chordata; Mammalia; Lagomorpha; Leporidae
Description: lncRNA (ENSOCUG00000032935.1)
Source: RNAcentral
GGGACCAGCUGCCAGCUGUCCCUCCCCCUGGAAGGACUCGUCUCUCUCUCGAGCUCUUUGCUGAAAGAAUUGUUUAUUCAAAGCAGCAAUUUCCUCCACACCCCUUCUAGCGACUUUAAUGGAACACGAGGAAGUUUUCUGACCUGGUUAUGGGGGGAGCAGAAUCCGCGGCUCAGCCCCCUGCCGGCCUCAGGAGGAGAGGAGAAGAGACCGCGGGCAGGAGGGGCACUCCGGAGAAGCAGGCAGAAAGUACAGAUUUCGUACACGCGGAGUUUCCGCAAACCUUGCUCUGUCCUCCUCCAUCAUUUUCCUCUCCCCUCCCCUGUCUCCGGGUGCUGCCGCGCAGGUCUGGUUCUUCAGUCCAGCUCCUGCUGCGCCCGGCACGGGCUGGACACCGAGGACCUGGCCCUGCCCACCUCAUUUGCCAGAAGUGAGUCGGCUUCCAGCUUUGAGAGCAGGCGUCCUGUGGAGUCAAAGUGUCCCAGCCUUCUUGGUGUCGUCUUCCCUCCAAACUCUGCCAAACUGCUGGAGCAUCACCAGCACAUCACCAGCAAACGCAGCCGUGCAAGUGCUCUGACCUCCUGAGCCCGUCUCUGCCGAGGAGUGGCAGAGUUGAUGUGCACUUGAGACACCUAGCAAAGCCUGAAACUGUAUUUUUCAAUACAUCUCCCUGGCAUGAAACUUUUUGGAAGCAGGAGAGGUAUUUAUUAAUAAAACAGAUGUUUGUGCAUUGUCA